This 434-nucleotide ribosomal RNA is filed under the name uncultured bacterium. RNAcentral describes it as "bacterial SSU rRNA". It matches the Rfam family "Bacterial small subunit ribosomal RNA", at positions 958 to 1392 of the family's 1533-position model. The record is from RNAcentral.
AACGCGAAGAACCUUACCUACCCUUGACAUCCAGAGAAUCUGUUAGAGAUAGUAGAGUGCCUUCGGGAACUCUGAGACAGGUGCUGCAUGGCGGUCGUCAGCUCGUGUCGUGAGAUGUUGGGUUAAGUCCCGUAACGAGGGCAACCCUUCUCCUUAUUUGCCACCAGGUCAUGUUGGGAACUCUAGGGAGACUGCCGGUGAUAAACCGGAGGAAGGUGGGGACGACGUCAAGUCAUCAUGGCCCUUAUGGGUAGGGCUACACACGUGCUACAAUGGCCGGUACAGAGGGCUGCGAACUUGCGAAAGUAAGCCAAUCCCACAAACCCGGUCCUAGUCCGGAUUGGAGUCUGCAACUCGACUCCAUGAAGUGGGAAUCCCUAGUAAUCGCGAAUCAGAAUGUCCGGUGAAAACCUUCCCGGGUCUUGUACACACCG